Molecule: ribosomal RNA, 2398 nt
Filed under: human gut metagenome
Description: bacterial LSU rRNA
Rfam family: Bacterial large subunit ribosomal RNA
Source: RNAcentral
AGGGCGCAUGGCGGAUGCCUUGGCUCUCGGAGGCGAUGAAGGACGUGAUAAGCUGCGAUAAGCUUCGGGCAGGUGCAAAUAACCUUUGAUCCGAAGAUUUCCGAAUGGGACAACCCGUCAUUCUGAAGGAAUGACAUCUUGCAUAGCAAGAGGCUAACGCAGGGAACUGAAACAUCUUAGUACCUGUAGGAAAAGAAAAUAAUAAUGAUUCCCCUAGUAGUGGCGAGCGAACGGGGAUUAGCCCAAACCAAUGUUGUUACGGCAAUAUUGGGGUUGUAGGACCACGAUGUCGCAAGAAAUUUAGUGAGAAGAACCCUUUGGAAAAUGGGACCAUAGACGGUGAUAGUCCGGUAUUCGAAGCUAAAUGAAGCGUAGUGGUAUCCUGAGUAGCGCGGGACACGAGGAAUCUUGCGUGAAUCUGCCGGGACCAUCCGGUAAGGCUAAAUACUCCCGAGAGACCGAUAGCGAACCAGUACUGUGAAGGAAAGGUGAAAAGCACUUCGAAUAGAAGAGUGAAAUAGUCCCUGAAACCGUGCGCCUACAAGCGGUCGGAGCUGCUUCAGCAGUGACGGCGUGCCUUUUGCAUAAUGAACCUACGAGUUACUUUUUCCGGCAAGGUUAAGGAUCUUGAGAUCCGCAGCCGAAGCGAAAGCGAGUCUUAACAGGGCGAUUAGUCGGAAGGAGUAGACGCGAAACCAAGUGAUCUACCCUUGGUCAGGUUGAAGGUUAGGUAACACUAACUGGAGGACCGAACCGAUAAGCGUUGAAAAGCUUCCGGAUGAACUGAGGGUGGGGGUGAAAGGCUAAUCAAACUUGGAGAUAGCUCGUACUCCCCGAAAUGCAUUUAGGUGCAGCCUUGUGGGUUACUGAUGUGAGGUAGAGCGACUGAUAAGAUGCGAGGGCUUCACCGCCUAUCAAGUCUUGAUAAACUCCGAAUGCGCAGUAGUUCGAUCCCAGGAGUGAGGGCAUGGGUGCUAAGGUCCAUGUCCUAAAGGAGAAGAAUCCGGACCAUCAGCUAAGGUCCCGAAAUAAUUGCUAAGUUGAACUAACGAAGUCAGAUUGCUAAGACAGCUAGGAUGUUGGCUUGGAAGCAGCCAUUCAUUUAAAGAGUGCGUAACAGCUCACUAGUCGAGGAGUCUGGCGUGGAUAAUAAUCGGGUAUUAAGUUGUCUACCGAAGCAGUGGGAUCAUUGAAAUGAUCGGUAGGGGAGCAUUCCAGUCAGCGUCGAAGGCGUACCGCGAGGUAUUCUGGAGCGUCUGGAAAAGCAAAUGUAGGUAUAAGUAACGAUAAAGGGGGCGGGAAACCCCCUCGCCGAAAGACUAAGGUUUCCUGAUCAACGCUAAUCGGAUCAGGGUUAGUCGGGUCCUAAGGCUCAGCCGAACGGUGAGGCCGAUGGCAGAACAGGUUAAUAUUCCUGUACUACCUUAAGGAGUGACGUGGAGACGGAGCAGUGACAGCGCCGCGGACUGACGGAAUAGUCCGUUGAAGGGUGUAGAUGUUGAUCUUUGCAGGCAAAUCCACAAAGAGAGUCGAACCUGAUAGUAUGGAGCGUUCUUCGGAACAAUCCAAUAGUGCGUGUAAACAUACUCCCAAGAAAAUCCGCUAAACUUAAUCUUUAAGGUACCCGUACCGCAAACGGACACACGUAGUCGGGUUGAAUAUACUAAGGCGCUUGAGUGAUUCACGGUUAAGGAACUAGGCAAAUUGACCCUGUAACUUCGGGAUAAAGGGUCCCAACGAGAGUUGGGCGCAGAGAAUAGGUCCAGGCAACUGUUUAACAAAAACACAGGGCUGUGCCAAAUUGAAAGAUUACGUAUACAGCCUGACACCUGCCCGGUGCUGGAAGGUUAAGAGGAGAUGUCAUCGCAAGAGAAGCAUUGAAUUGAAGCCCCAGUAAACGGCGGCCGUAACUAUAACGGUCCUAAGGUAGCGAAAUUCCUUGUCGGGUAAGUUCCGACCUGCACGAAUGGUGUAAUGAUCUGGACGCUGUCUCAACCGUGAGCUCAGUGAAAUUGUAGUAUCGGUGAAGAUGCCGAUUACCCGCGAUGGGACGAAAAGACCCCGUGAACCUUUACUAUAGCUUAACAUUGAAUUUGGGUAAUUGAUGUGUAGGAUAGGCCGGAGACUUUGAAUCAGGUACGCCAGUAUUUGUGGAGUCGCUGUUGAAAUACGGCCCUUUGAUUAUUUGAGUUCUAACUCGUAGAUGCGAGGACACUGUUUGGUGGGUAGUUUGACUGGGGUGGUCGCCUCCAAAAGUGUAACGGAGGCUUCUAAAGGUGCCCUCAGGACGAUUGGUAACCGUCCGUAGAGUGUAAUGGCAUAAGGGCGCUUGACUGGGAGACAGACAAGUCGAUCAGGUAGGAAACUAGAGCAUAGUGAUCCGGUGUUUCCGUAUGGA